CCUGGUGUCUCUAGCGAAGUGGACACACCCGAUCCCAUCCCGAACUCGGUAGUUAAGCACUUCAGCGCCGAUGGUAGCCUUCAGUGGCAAGAGUAGGUCGGUGCCAGGA
RNAcentral lists this ribosomal RNA (109 nucleotides) under Candidatus Moranbacteria bacterium RIFCSPLOWO2_02_FULL_48_19. The record is from RNAcentral. Lineage: Bacteria; Candidatus Moraniibacteriota. RNAcentral also lists the same sequence under 2 other names.